This 709-nucleotide ribosomal RNA is filed under the name uncultured marine Syndiniales. RNAcentral's name for it is "SSU rRNA". It matches the Rfam family "Eukaryotic small subunit ribosomal RNA", at positions 441 to 1155 of the family's 1831-position model. The record is from RNAcentral. Lineage: Eukaryota; Dinophyceae; Syndiniales.
UUACCCAAUCACGACACGUGGAGGUAGUGACAAGAAAUAAAAAGCAAGCCAGUAUUCUGGUUUUGCUAUUGGAAUGAGUAGAAUUUAAAUCUCUUUACGACUAUCAAUUGGAGGGCAAGUCUGGUGCCAGCAGCCGCGGUAAUUCCAGCUCCAAUAGCGUAUAUUAAAGUUGUUGCGGUUAAAAAGCUCGUAGUUGGAUUUCUGUUGAGGACGGCCGGUCCGCACUAUGUGCGUGUAUCUGGUUCGGCCUCGGCAUCCUCUUGAGGAACGUUUCUGCGCUUGAUUGCGUGGAGCGGUAUUCAAGACUUUUACUUUGAGGAAAUUAGAGUGUUCACGGCAGGCAAGCGCCUUGAAUAUGUUAGCAUGGAAUAAUAAUAUAGGAUCUUGGUUCUAUUUGUUGGUUUCUAGGGCUAAGGUAAUGAUUAAUAGGGAUAAUUGGGGGCAUUUGUAUUAACGCGUCAGAGGUGGAAUUCUUGGAUUGCGUUACGACAAACUACUGCGAAAGCAUUUGCCAAGGAUGUUUUCAUUGAUCAAGAACGAAAGUAUGGGGAUCGAAGAUGAUUAGAUACCGUCGUAGUCUAUACCAUAAACUAUGCCGACUAGGGAUUGGAGGUCGUUCUUUUUAUGACUCCUUCAGCACCUUAUGAGAAAUCAAAGUCUUUGGGUUCCGGGGGGAGUAUAGUCGCAAGGCUGAAACUUAAAGGAAUUG